RNAcentral lists this ribosomal RNA (254 nucleotides) under uncultured bacterium. Its description in RNAcentral is "partial 16S ribosomal RNA". It matches the Rfam family "Bacterial small subunit ribosomal RNA", at positions 524 to 776 of the family's 1533-position model. The record is from RNAcentral.
UACGUAGGGGGCGAGCGUUAUCCGGAAUUAUUGGGCGUAAAGGGUGCGCAGGCGGUUUGCCACGUUCACAGCAACAGCCAUCGGCUUAACCGAUUGGAGGACUGCGAAAACUGGCAGACUUGAGAGCGAGAGAGGGACAUGGAACUCCGGGUGGAGCGGUGAAAUGCGCAGAUAUCGGGAAGAACACCCGUGGCGAAGGCGGCUCUCUGGGACGGUACUGACGCUGAGACGCGAAAGCGUGGGGAGCGAACAGG